RNAcentral lists this ribosomal RNA (253 nucleotides) under uncultured bacterium. RNAcentral's name for it is "partial 16S ribosomal RNA". It matches the Rfam family "Bacterial small subunit ribosomal RNA", at positions 524 to 776 of the family's 1533-position model. The record is from RNAcentral.
UACGUAGGAGGCAAGCGUUGUCCGGAAUUACUGGGCGUAAAGAGCGUGUAGGCGGCAAGACAAGUCUGUGCUGAAAUCUCGUGGCUCAACUACGAGAAGUGUAUGGAAACUGUUUAGCUGGAGGAAGGUAGAGGAAGGUGGAAUUCCCGGUGUAGUGGUGAAAUGCGUAGAUAUCGGGAGGAACACCAGCGGCGAAGGCGGCCUUCUGGGCCUAUCCUGACGCUGAGACGCGAAGGCCAGGGUAGCGAACGGG